RNAcentral lists this non-coding RNA (24 nucleotides) under Arabidopsis thaliana (thale cress). The record is from RNAcentral. Lineage: Eukaryota; Viridiplantae; Streptophyta; Magnoliopsida; Brassicales; Brassicaceae.
GUAAUUCCAGUGGUUGUGGGCCUU